UUAAUUUUCUAUUUUCCCUCACUGACCAUCGGCACACAAGGAUUUCAUGGUCGUGUAAGCGUAAUCUAGUAUCUCAGUCUGGUAAUCAUCACUUAAGGUACGGAUUCCUCCCCACAUAUGUGUACGGAUUUAGAUUUCCACUACCUCGUAGUUGAAAAUUUAGAUUCGUUAUUCAAAUAUUCAAUUAUGAUGCACUGAACUACUGAUUGUGUCGCACCGAAAGGUGACGCACUGAAAAACUGAAUGUGAACUACUGAAUGUGAUUAUGUGACGCAGUGAAUGUGAACUGAAUACGCAUUGAACUACUGAAUGUGACGCACUGAAGGUGACUAACUGAAUGUGUUAUAUAUAUUGUUUGAUAGAUAUUAUUAAGAAAAUAUAUAUUGCGUUGUUGUUGUCCCACUGAGUAAACCCCGUUUACUCAGGCGUACAUUUGCCUUCUUAUGUACGUUAGGUUGCAAGGAUUGUCGGGAAGACUUGGAUGGAUGGUUCGAGGGAUUAAAGACGCACAUGGAUUUUUUUUAAAAGUUUAAAUUGUUUUAUAUAAUAUUUCGAAUUUUUGAAAUAAUGUAAAAGUUUUAUAAUUUAUGGAAUGAUGUUCU
This 602-nucleotide long non-coding RNA is filed under the name Helianthus annuus (common sunflower). RNAcentral describes it as "hypothetical non coding rna". Lineage: Eukaryota; Viridiplantae; Streptophyta; Magnoliopsida; Asterales; Asteraceae. The record is from RNAcentral.